Molecule: non-coding RNA, 22 nt
Filed under: Arabidopsis thaliana (thale cress)
Lineage: Eukaryota; Viridiplantae; Streptophyta; Magnoliopsida; Brassicales; Brassicaceae
Source: RNAcentral
ACCAUUACAAUCCAACUCAUUU